GCAGCCAAUCAGCGGAGCGGCCUGGGCAGCCAAUCAGGGCGCGGAGCACGGGAGGACGCCGUCCGGCGGUACCCGGGGCGACCAGAGGAGGCGGAGCCAGAGCUCGGGAGCCAACCACCGCGGGCCGGUUGCCGUGGAAACCGCCUCCCUCCCUUCAGCCCCCGCCCCGGGCUUGAAGGUCCUUUCAACUGCUUGCUAGAAAUUGAACAAUUCCCACUCCUAGCCAGCGGGCUGCGGCUGCACCUGACCCUUGGAAACUGGACGAGUGCUGCCUUUUGCCUCUUCUGAGUUUAAUCCUCGGGGGAUGAGCUUUUCCGUUCUGGAGCUUGUCCAGAAAAUGGUGGAAAGCCGGUGAUCACUGAACAACAGAACCACCGACCCAGGGCCAGGUUAGAACGUCCUAACGAACGCAUAUAGCAAGACUUGAGUUGGAUGAGAACAGAAAGGACGGCCAAAAUCCAGCCUGCAGAGGAGGCUGCCCCAUCACCUCCGACUGUAGUAUACUGCCAGCCUGGAACGCCACAGCCACAUACCACAGGGAAGAAUCCUGAAGCACCAGGAAAACCGACUGUUGGAAUCGCAUCACCCACCACCACCGCAUUCAUCAUCAACAUCAUCCACAGAACUUGGUCGCAUGGCACUCAGUGACACCUGGCUCUGAGGCAGAACACAGUUUAAAAAAUUAAGAUACUUGGACAGAGGCAGAAUGAC
Molecule: long non-coding RNA, 711 nt
Filed under: Oryctolagus cuniculus (rabbit)
Lineage: Eukaryota; Metazoa; Chordata; Mammalia; Lagomorpha; Leporidae
Description: lncRNA (ENSOCUG00000038459.1)
Source: RNAcentral